UACGUAGGUGACUAGCGUUGUCCGGAUUUACUGGGCGUAAAGGGCUCGUAGGCGGCCAACUAAGUCAGACGUGAAAUCCCUCGGCUUAACCGGGGAACUGCGUCUGAUACUGGAUGGCUUGAGUUUGGGAGGGGGAUGCGGAAUUCCAGGUGUAGCGGUGAAAUGCGUAGAUAUCUGGAGGAACACCGGUGGCGAAGGCGGCAUCCUGGACCAACACUGACACUGAGGAGCGAAAGCCAGGGGAGCAAACGGG
RNAcentral lists this ribosomal RNA (253 nucleotides) under uncultured bacterium. RNAcentral's name for it is "partial 16S ribosomal RNA". It matches the Rfam family "Bacterial small subunit ribosomal RNA", at positions 524 to 776 of the family's 1533-position model. The record is from RNAcentral.